UACACGACCGUACCGCAAACCGACACUGGUGCGCGAGAUGAGUAUUCUAAGGCGCUUGAGAGAACUCAGGAGAAGGAACUCGGCAAAUUGACACCGUAACUUCGGAAGAAGGUGUGCCUUUAGUAGGUGAAGUCCCUCGCGGAUGGAGCCCAAUGAGGUUGCAAAAAAUCGGUGGCUGCGACUGUUUAUUAAAAACACAGCACUCUGCAAACACGAAAGUGGACGUAUAGGGUGUGACGCCUGCCCGGUGCUGGAAGAUUAAAUGAUGGGGUGCAAGCUCUUGAUUGAAGUCCCAGUAAACGGCGGCCGUAACUAUAACGGUCCUAAGGUAGCGAAAUUCCUUGUCGGGUAAGUUCCGACCUGCACGAAUGGCGUAACGAUGGCCACACUGUCUCCUCCUGAGACUCAGCGAAGUUGAAAUGUUUGUGAUGAUGCAAUCUCCCCGCGGAAAGACGGAAAGACCCCAUGAACCUUUACUGUAGCUUUGUAUUGGACUUUGAACAGAUCUGUGUAGGAUAGGUGGGAGGCUUUGAAGCAGGGUCGCUAGAUCUUGUGGAGCCAACGUUGGAAUACCACCCUGGUGUGUUUGAGGUUCUAACCUAGGUCCAUUAUCUGGAUCGGGGACAGUGCAUGGUAGGCAGUUUGACUGGGGCGGUCUCCUCCCAAAGCGUAACGGAGGAGUUCGAAGGUACGCUAGUUACGGUCGGACAUCGUGACGAUAGUGCAAUGGCAUAAGCGUGCUUAACUGCGAGACUGACAAGUCGAGCAGAUGCGAAAGCAGGACAUAGUGAUCCGGUGGUUCUGUAUGGAAGGGCCAUCGCUCAACGGAUAAAAGGUACUCUGGGGAUAACAGGCUGAUACCGCCCAAGAGUUCAUAUCGACGGCGGUGUUUGGCACCUCGAUGUCGGCUCAUCUCAUCCUGGGGCUGUAGCCGGUCCCAAGGGUAUGGCUGUUCGCCAUUUAAAGAGGUACGUGAGCUGGGUUUAAAACGUCGUGAGACAGUUUGGUCCCUAUCUUCCGUGGGCGCUGCAGAUUUGAGGAAGCCUGCUCCUAGUACGAGAGGACCGGAGUGGACACACCUCUGGUGUAUCGGUUGUCACGCCAGUGGCAUUGCCGAGUAGCUAAGUGUGGAAGAGAUAACCGCUGAAAGCAUCUAAGCGGGAAACUCGUUUCAAGAUGAGAUCUGCCGGGGCCUUGAGCCCCCUGAAGAGUCGUUCAAGACCAGGACGUUGAUAGGCAGGGUGUGGAAGCGCAGUAAUGCGUUAAGCUAACCUGUACUAAUUGCUCGUGCGACUUGACC
Molecule: ribosomal RNA, 1300 nt
Filed under: metagenome
Description: bacterial LSU rRNA
Rfam family: Bacterial large subunit ribosomal RNA
Source: RNAcentral